UUUCGCAAUGCCCGAAAGGGUGACGAAGCGACGCCGCGUGGGUGAGGAAGGCCUUCGGGUUGUAAAGCCCUGUCAGGAGUUAAGAAAUGUAGAUACGCUAAUAUCGUAUCUAUUUGACAAAGGCUCCAAAGGAAGCCACGGCUAACUCUGUGCCAGCAGCCGCGGUAAUACAGAGGUGGCAAGCGUUGUUCGGAAUUAUUGGGCGUAAAGAGCACGUAGGCGGCCCUGCCAGUCAGUUGUGAAAGCCUUCCGCUCAACGGAAGAACGGCAGCUGAUACUACAGGGCUAGAGUACGGGAGGGGAGAGUGGAACUUCUGGUGGAGCGGUGAAAUGCGUAGAUAUCAGAAGGAACGCCGGCGGCGAAAGCGACUCUCUGGACCGAAACUGACGCUGAGUGUGCGAAAGCUAGGGGAGCAAACGGGAUUAGAUACCCCGGUAGUCCUAGCCGUAAACGAUGGGCACUAAGUAGAGGGGUUUUA
Molecule: ribosomal RNA, 479 nt
Filed under: uncultured bacterium
Lineage: Bacteria
Description: bacterial SSU rRNA
Rfam family: Bacterial small subunit ribosomal RNA
Source: RNAcentral